AGCGCGGCCGGCCGUUAUUUUUCAAACGUGAGAGCGCGGCGGGACCGCUGCGCGCCUCUGCGCCGCGGUGGGAGGGCGGCCGGCCGCCAUCUUGCGGCGCGAGCCGGGAAGCGCCUGCAGCGAGCAGCGGGCGGGGGGGCGAGGGGCUGUGCGAGCAGCGUCCGCGUGUGGGGAGACUGAAAUAAUGGGAACCGCAUCUCCUAGCUGGCUUUUAAAUCAAGUUUAGGAAGAGGUUUUCAGGACUACUGCCCACGGUCAAAUGCAGAAAAGUAGUUUAACGAAAGUUAAAUACAAAAAAAUAAAAUAAAGUCAACCUGUGGUGGCUGAGGGACUGGAGGAGCUCGGGGCUGGGGUUUGUCCUCUUUGCUGAGGUGAAGGCUUUGUGUCCUCCAGCAGCUUCAAGUGUACCAAUCCACAUUAGCACUAGUAGAAAUAUUUCCAAAAAUAAUGGAAUUUCUGUUCUGCCUACCGUUUAAAGCUAACAAGACUUCUGAAUGCUGCACUAACUAAACCGAUUGGAGCUACCACCAUUUUGCAGUUACCAGCAAACCCAAAGGGACAUGAGAAAAUCCAAACACAGAAACUGAUUUCGGAUAUGACCAGAAUGACAGAUUUUAAAAGGGAAAGUCGUUCCCAGAGCUAUUAAAUCAGUCUCCUUCACAAAUCCUGUUUUGUUUUUAAAUUCUGUAUCCUUUCAGCAUUACUUCUUGUAGACAGGGCAAUAUACGGCACUGAUUCUGCAAAUGCUGCUUCUCCGUGUAAAGCAAUACUCCUCAUAGAAUUUGUUUUCCUUACAAAGUGAUUCACGACUACUCCUUGCCUAGAAAGCAGUGCAAAAUGCUGUUAAUAAACACUGCAUGCCCCCAGUGUGCAGAAGAAACCUAGGCAAGCCAGAUGCUGCUACCUCUGCUCCCAGAUAGGGUCUGAUCCUAGGGAAGAAACUGAAGUGACUCAGCGUGAUAAAACACACUUUUCCUCUCCUCUUACUCAAGCAGCUAAUCACAGAAAUAGAUCCAACGGCCACUGUUGUGCAAGCAGUCCCUGGCUGAUAGCAGCAAGGAAGGAACAGCAGCUUCUUUGUGUUUUCCUGAAAUUCUCCCCCACUGAAGGGGCGAGGGGUCACUGAUUGCAUAGUCUUUGCUCCAUUGCACACCCUCAGCUAUUGUUGAGCCCACUCAGAAAGCAACAGACUGAAUGUGCUGCCCAGCCUUGGAACUGAAUCUUUUUUUUUUUUUUAAAUUGCUUGAAAUAAGAUUCUCAAUAAACGUAAAGCACCUGUUCAUCCAGAACAAUGUCUGUAACUCGUUGGGUGAAGACUGUAUGAAGUCCUGCAGCUGAAGUACACAGUUUACACCAGAACCUUUUGGAAUAUGAUCAUCUUUGUUACCAUCUCCUAAUCCUUAUAAAGGGAUUUGCAUGGUACAGGAAGAUUUACAAUGUAAUGGAUUACUAUUCCAUAAUCCGGGCCAAGGGGAAGAAACUUCAAAUAUUUACAAUUUUUUUGGACUGCAUUUCAAACCUUUUUUUCAGCUCGAGAAAGACAACACUGGGGAGGCUGUCCGAGGGUGUUCACACACCAAAUACAGUGUCCUCAUAUUGCUUGUAGGCCAUGUAAGUUUGUUCUCUACCUGUGUCACCACCAUGCUUGUCAUUAUUCAGAAGCACAGAAAGUAUGUUAAUAGAAAGCAAGCGAAGCAUUAUGGAGCAAACUAUUGUUAGCCUGCUAUCACUUUACCUUAUGUAAAUUACACUGGGAAAAAUAAGAGAGAGAAAAUGUUUUUAAAAAAAUGCUAGUAAACCUAAUUGCUUCUUAGUCCGUUGCAUAGGUCUGAGUUUAUAUAGCAGUUACAUUUUUCAGUUUUAACCACUCAAGGUCCCGAGCAGAACAGACAAUUACACAGAAGCUCAAGACUGAAAAGAAUUGUUCAAAGGCACUGCCUAUCUGGAAAGGCCCAAACAUCUGAAAAGUUAUCCUACCCUCCUUUGAUACUAAACCCAUCCUGCUACAUGUACAUGCUAAGAAUGAUACUCCCAAAAUCACACGUACAAUGACAGUUACUAUUUUAAAUUCAGUCUUCCCAUCCCAGUUUGUUGGACUUUCUAUUAGUGAUGCAAACUCUUUGGAACAAGCAGUCUUUGAUCUAUAAGCAGAUACAGGCUUUUCCAAUAUGACUUUAUGAUGUCUAGCAACAAGGAGGUUCUUACAACACUGUCACUGCCCAACAUCACAGCAAUGUAAUGCACAGGUGCAGGAGCAGCAAUCGAUGCAACAGAAAGAGGUACAGAAAUCUCAUGUUUUGCAGAGGGGCAUCGCUGCAAGUAAAGCAUCAUUAAUGCCAGUGACUUCCUUGCACCUUUAUUACCUCUCAGCUGAAGGUCAAGCAGCAUUUCUCAACCUGUCGGAGAAUCAAAGUCAAUACAGGGCAUCUCUUCCUGUCCAUCACACAGUCCCUCUGGAACUUAGGUGACAGCUUUUAUCCUUACAUUUGAAUACUGUCUCAAGGCAUGGUUAGGACAUGCUCCCUAUAUCAACAAGAAAAGAGGAACCAUUGCAAGAUAACAUCCCAGCAAUGACACCUCAGUGGGUCCAGAGGAAAGCUGCAAGGAUACUCAGGGAGCUGGAGCACCUGCCCUUUGAAGAAAUGCUGAGGAAGCUGGAGCCUGGAGUAAAGAAGGCUCCAGAGGGGAUCUCACUGCAGCCUUCCAGUACUUAAAGAGAGCUGAUAAGCAGGAGGGAGACUGACUUUUUACAGAGUCUGAUAAUGAUAGGGCAAGGGAAAUGGUUUAAAACUAAAACAGGAGAAAAUUAUCUUAGAUGUUAGGUGGAAAUUCUU
Numida meleagris (helmeted guineafowl) is the source of this 2834-nucleotide long non-coding RNA. RefSeq lists it as uncharacterized. The transcript has 3 exons. NCBI's taxonomy places the organism in Eukaryota, Metazoa, Chordata, Aves, Galliformes, Numididae. The record is from RefSeq and is a predicted model, not a curated record.